This 759-nucleotide small RNA is filed under the name Pongo abelii (Sumatran orangutan). Its description in RNAcentral is "processed transcript". The record is from RNAcentral. Lineage: Eukaryota; Metazoa; Chordata; Mammalia; Primates; Hominidae.
GGAAAAGCUUUCUGGAAAGACGAUGUGGCAGUACAGUGCUGGUGUGUUUGGGAACUGAGAAGCCUUGGGUAUGGCAGGAGACCAGCAAAACUGUUUCCAGUAAAUGAUGGAAGAUGAAUCCAAGUUUUUUUAUAGGCUUGCUUCUGAUCCUGCUCCUGCAGGUGACGGCAGGUAUCCUAGGAGCUGUUUUCAAAUCUGAGUCUGAUCGCAUUGUGAAUGAAACUCUCUAUGAAAACACAAAGCUUUUGAGCGCCACAGGGGAAAGUGAACAACAAUUCCAGGAAGGCAUAAUUGCACUUCAAAAAGAGUUUAAAUGCUGCGGUUUGGUCAAUGGAGCUGCUGAUUGGGGAAAUAAUUUUCAAAAAUAUCCUGAAUUAUGUGACUGUCUAGAUAAGCAGAGACCAUGCCAAAGCUAUAAUGGAAAAGAAGUUUACAAAGAGCCCUGUAUUCCUUUCAUAAAAGACUUCUUGGCAAAAAAUUUGAUUAUAGUUAUUGGAAUAGCAUUUGGACUGGCGGUUAUUGAGAUACUGGGUUUGGUGUUUUCUAUGGUCCUGUAUUGCCAGAUCGGGAACAAAUGAAUCUGUGGAUGCAUCAAGCUAUCGUCAGUCAAACCCCUUUAAAAUGUUGCUUUGGCUUUGUAAAUUUAAAUAUGUAAGUGCUAUAUAAGUCAGGAGCAGCUGUCUUUUUAAAAUGUCUCAGCUAGCUAGACCACAGAUAUCUUCUAGACAUAUUGAACAUAGUUAAGAUUUGAAGGAUAUA